AUUGAACGCUGGCGGCAGGCCUAACACAUGCAAGUCGAACGAGUGGCGGACGGGUGAGUAAUGUCUGGGAAACUGCCUGAUGGAGGGGGAUAACUACUGGAAACGGUAGCUAAUACCGCAUACCAUCGGAUGUUCCCAGAUGGGAUUAGCUAGUAGGUGGGGUAACGGCUCACCUAGGCGAAGAUCCCUAGCUGGGCUGAGAGUAUGACCAGCCACACUGGAACUGAGACACGGGCCAGACUCCUACGGUAGGCAGCAGUGGGUAAGAUUGCAACAUGGGCGCAAGCCGGAUGCAGCCAUGCCGCGUGUAUGAAGAAGGCCUUCGGGUUGUAAAGUACUUGCAGCGGGGAGGCGUUACCCGCAGAAGAAGCACCGGCUAACUCCGUGCCAGCCGCCGCGGUAAUAC
This 406-nucleotide ribosomal RNA is filed under the name uncultured bacterium. Its description in RNAcentral is "partial 16S ribosomal RNA". It matches the Rfam family "Bacterial small subunit ribosomal RNA", at positions 30 to 526 of the family's 1533-position model. The record is from RNAcentral.